Long non-coding RNA from Vespa velutina, 1764 nucleotides. RefSeq lists it as uncharacterized. The record is from RefSeq and is a predicted model, not a curated record. The transcript is spliced from 2 exons. Lineage: Eukaryota; Metazoa; Arthropoda; Insecta; Hymenoptera; Vespidae.
GAGAGAGAGAGAAAGAGAAGACUCGUCGCGGUCUGUAUUUGCUCCCCCAUUCACUUACCCACGUAUAUAUCUCCUUCUCUGUCCCUCUUUAUGUUUUGCAUUAACAAGCCUACUCCCUCUCUUCGUCGUAUAUAUAUAACAAAUCCAGAAGAUCGAAGGACACGAUGAAGAGUUUGUUUUAUAUUUACCAUCGAUUUUAAAUAUAAUCAAAUAUUUAUUGAGCUGUUGAAGCGGAAAUUUAUUUUUAUUUACUUGAAGGAGUUUUUUCUUAGAGCUGGAAACGACAUCAAAUUUUAUGUUUUUUCUUUCUUUCUAAAAGUUCGAAAUAUUUUUGAUGAUGCAAUUAUACUGUUACUGUGCCUAGGAAAUAUAAGCGAUAGUUGAAACUGUUUUAAACAGAUCCUUAAACCGUAAAAUUAGGAUUUUUAGGUAAUAAAUUGCAACAUAUUAUAAUGAGAAUAUUUGCUAAUCUUUCUUUUCCUUUGCAAUUUGCAAAGAAAAAAAAACAUACAUAAAUUUUGCGAAUUAUUUUUUCGUUAUUACGAAACGAAACAUCUAAAUGUGCAGAAAAAAAAACAUUUAUAAAUUUUCUUAUAUAUAACUUACGUAUUCAAUCAUUUUACGACAAAAAAAUAGAUAACAUCGAUGAACUUCACACUUACAAGUCUCGUUUCUUCGAAGUUGAAGAAGUUAGAUAUUUGUCAAUUAUUAUGUUAUGAAAGUGUUUAUUUUACUUGUUAAAAGCAUAUGACCUUGUGUGCGACAUAGUAACAACGCGUAAUAUUGAACGAGAGAAUAGAACUUCCGCGUUAAUAGAAUGAAAGGAAACGUAAACAUUUUAUCUUUAAUUGUAUGUCAAUGAUCGAUCAUUUUUCCGAAUAGAAAAAAAAUUAUUGAACAGUGCGCGCGCGUUAAUAUUAGAAGAUAUUUUAUGAUAAUGAUAGAAUAAAUUAUAUUAGAACCUUGCUUGAAUUAGAAGAAUAAUUUAGCGUUACAAUCCAAUCAACGUAUUCGAUAUUAGUUUUUAAUUAUGUUUAGAAUUAAAAACGAAUUAGAAUUUUCUGAAACAAAUAUAAUACGUUUGUGAAAACACACACACACACACACACGCAUAUAUAUAUAUAUAUAUAUAUAUAUAUAUAUAUAGAGAGAGAGAGAGAGAGAGAGAGAGAGAGAGAGAGAGAGAGAGGAAGAGAUAGAGAAAGAGAGAGAGAGAGAGAGAGAGAGAAAAGAAGAACGCUUAUUGGUUCUUAUCGAUUUCGAUUAGUGUUGCUGGUAAUAUCGUAAUCGAUGUCACAAUAAUACAGUGUAUCGUUAUCUCCCACAUUGGUUCGCAUAAUAGCACGAUAACUAUGCAUAAAUGCAUUUGUACUUUACGUAAAAGCUUUUUGUAAAUAUAUAACCAAAGAAUGUGCUUUAGUUGACGUAAAUAGGAGGAAUUCAGCGAGUAUAACAAUGGUAUAUUUUACAAAGAAAUCAGAGCAAUUUAGAAAUAUGAUGUCAUCGAAAUAGAAAUUGGUCUUCGGCCUUGUCCUUGUGUCUUUUUUAAAAGACAAAUUUGAUUGUUUGAAAUUGUUAUUUUUCUUACGAUUUCUUCUAAAAAAGAAAAAAAAAGGAAAAAGACUAUAUAAUUAUAAUAAAUUGGUUAUUAUUCAUGUUAGCAAUAUAUUUUCAAUUAAGCGGUUUUUUUUCACAUGAUUUCGUAAAAUGUAAGUAACAAUGAGGAGACAUUCUUGGACAAAUAAAUUUAUGAUCCUCCGAGGA